AUUUAAUAAUCAUCCAUGCCAAAGCGUAAAUUUCUGUCGCGUAUCUCAACAAGAUGUCGUAAAUUAAUUCGAGAAGAGAGCGAUUAUAAAUUAUUGCCUUAUUUAAUGAAGAAUCUAGAAUUAAUUCGCACGCAAUUUUAAAUAAUUCUACCCCGGAUAAUGAUCAUGACAAGAUUGUCAAUUUUAAUAAUACUAUUUCCGAAUGUGAUACUUCUUUAAUUAAUAAACAAAAAGCAAUAGAUUUAUUAUUUUCCAAUUUAACAAAUAUUUCUGCACCUGAUAUUUCUUUAAAUAAUAUACUUUUUCACCGAGAGGACAGUGUAAUGGAAGAUACUAUAAAAAAGAGAUGAUAAUAAUUCAGAAAAAGAAAACGAUUUUUAAGACAUUUUUAAUACAUUGGGCUGUCAGGCAUCGUAUUUCUCAUGUAGCGUUAUCGCAUUUAUUAUCCGGUUUGAGAACAGCGCAUCCAACUUUUCCUAAUUUCUCAAAAUGUGCAAAGACGUUAUUACAUAUACCACAAUCCUCACCAUUAUCAUUGAAAUGUUUCCUGGACAAUAUUGUCAUUUUGGUAUUGAACAUGGUAUUUUUCAAUUCUUAUCCACAAGCAAGAAUACGGUUUCAUCUUGUAUUCAGAUUCAAAUUGGUAUCAAUGGUCUUCUAAUUUCUCAAUCAAACUCAAAUCAGUUAUGGCCCAUUUUAGGUCGAAUUAUGUCUCACAAGAAAGUAAUUCUUAUAGGUUGUUAUUUCGGAAAAACCAAACCAACGGAUACGAAUAAAUUUCUACAACAAUUUGUAGAAAAUGUCAAUAAUUUAAUUAAUAAGGGCAUAACUUAUAACGAGAAAACAUUUGUAGUAUUAAUAGACUCUAUCAUAUGUAAUGCUCCUGCUAAGUCUUUCUUACUAAAAUUAUUCUUAUUAAAGGGCAUACGGGCUAUUUCAGCGAGUGAGUCCUAGAUGCGCACAGAUCGAAAUGGAUACCACCAAUCAAAUUCUAUAAAUUUAUCCUAACUCCAAGUUUCCAAAUACUUUCUUAAUAUCAGACGUUUUAUUACUAAAGAAUUUGCAAGAAAGCCAUGAGAAAUACAAGAUUUUGCACAGUGAAAAGCAACUGAAUUGAGACAAUUUCUGUUAUAUACCGGUCCUGUUAUUACAAAGAGAAUUAAAUUCUGAUAUUUUCUCCAAUUUUCUUACUUUGCACAUUGCUGUUCGCAUUUUAUGUCAGAAAAGUCCAAUCGAAUAUAUUGACUAUGCGGAUAAAUUAAUGAAACAUUUUGUUAAAUGCUUUAUUCAAAUUUACGGACCCGAAUUUGUAUCCCAUAAUAUUCUUUUACAUAUAACUGACUGCGUAAAACAAUUUGGACUUAGAUACUUUUAGUACUUUUGCGUUUGAAAACUUUAUGAAAGAGUUGAAAUCAACUUUAAGAAAACCGGAUAAACCAUUAAAGCAAAUUAGCAAUUUGCUAUGCGGAGAUGAGUUUUUGUAACAUAAAUUCUAACAAUAUAAAUGUUUCAUCAAAAAUUAACGUAAAAUCCCCAUAUGAAAGUAAUCCAUUGAUAUCGGGUUGUUACAGCCCGCAAUUUUCGAAGAUUGAAUUUCUUCAGUUUAUUAUUUCAAUUAAAUCUCUUGAUAAUUGUUGUCUUAUAGAAAAUGAUAUCGUCUGUUUAAAAAAUAUCGCAACAUCGAGUGAAGGCAAUUACGUUGUAGAUCGAUAAAUUUAAAAUUGUUGAGGAACUUUAUAAUUAUCUAUGCAGCUCUGUCCGUUUGGAUAUAUUUAAAGUCAGUAAAUUAUCCGCUCUUCAAGUUUGACUUUUAUAUAAAAUUAAUUACAAAUUUAUAAAAUUAUCAUACACAGAAAAUGAUAAAGAAGAUAAAAAAGUUUUUGCAAUAAUACCGUUAAUAAGCACUGCGCAUUUAUAAUGUAUAACAUAGAUGUAUAUAUAUAUAUCAUGCUACGCUUCGUAUAAUCUUCUUAUUAGGAAAAAUUGUAUACGUGAUCUAUAGAUGAGAUGACAAAACAAAUUUUCUCGUGCAAAGGUCUAAAUAGAUCUUGUGUGUAUGUGUGUUUACGAUGUUCGCGGAAAUAAAUUUAUUAAGAGUUUCAGGUGAAAAUGCCGAAUCAAUGAUUUAUUGUCGCAGAAUUCUUCGACGGUAUUCAAGUAAUAUAAAAAAUUUGGUUACAAAAUGAGGAUUUGUGUAAAUAUCCUCCACAUUACAAAACAGAUUCAAGAAUUCGGAAAGCGAUUGAAAAAGAAGAAACGCCAGCUUCUUAUUAGGUUGUUUUAAAAUUGAUCGGAUUUUUGGCAAGUAUUCUUCCCUACAAAAGGCCGAUGAAAAAGCAGAAAAGGCAAUCUAUACGUCAGACAUGGAUACCGAUAAGGAAGCGAGAAGAAAUAAAAAAUUUAGAGCGAAUACGAUUAUAUCCUCGUCCGAAGAAGAACCACGCAUCAUUCUACCAUCUGCUCCAUGUCCACCAAAAUUCAACGAUUGUACAAUUAUACAAGUGAACCUAAAAGUUCAACCACGACAUGUUCUGGGGAUUUUGCGAAAAGAAACAGCGAAUCAUAAAAGGUCCCAAAUUCAAGCUCCAACUUAUAUUUGCAAGGUGUGGAUAAGUAUAAUAUUUCCAAUGUAACGGCAAUAUAUCCAACAGAGGAAAAUAAAGAUUUAAAUAGGGACGUGAAUAAAAGGGAGGAAAUCGGGCAAAGCUGUAUACAAGAGAAAGAGAGUCAAAGAGAGAAAAGAGAUGACCAUUUAAAUUGUCAAUCUUCACAAGAUGCAAGUAAAUAUUCAUUCAAAUGGUAAGUAAAUAUUCACGGAGGUAUAAUUAAUGGAGGUGGAGGAGUCUUGAUACAUUGUAAUUUUCAACAUAAUGCUGCAAUAGUAAGUUAACGUACAUUUACAUUAGUGUUAAAUACAAUAUAAAAAUUUUAGUAAAAGAGGCAAUUAUAUAAAAUAAUCGAACUUGUUAUUAUGUAAAAUAAUAUUUUGAUAAUUGAAUACAUGUAGUGCAUUCUACAAUUACUACCAAGUGCAAUGUAUAAUCAAUUUUAAUAAAUAAUUCCGCAAUAACGACUACAAUAAUAUUAUUUCAUAGUUUCACAUUUUAUAUAAGACUUUAUUUAAUUAAACUAAGUGUAAAAAGUAGAGAUGGGCGAUACAGUAGAAAAUAUCGAUAUUGCGUAUCGAUACGUAUUAUAAAUAAGAAUAUCGAUAUACACUAAAAAUAUCGCAUUAAAAAUAUUGAUAUUUAAUAGUAUCGAUACUCGAUACUGUCCAUAAUCCAUACCUCUUUUGAGAACAAAGCGGUCCGCUAAUCAUUGUCAUCGUUAAAUCAUUUAGUUUUGUAAUUAAUGUAAACUAAUUUUCUUAAGUAUGUAGUUUAAGUAUGGAACUCUGUUGCAAACAAUUUAUCAAAUUAUUGUUCAAAAAGAAAAAAUUAAUUACAACAAAUACAUAUGCAAUAAGUAGUCUAAUGUCGGUUUUAUUAUUUCCACAUAUAAUAAGAAAAAAUGUUAUAG
This 3519-nucleotide long non-coding RNA is filed under the name Monomorium pharaonis (pharaoh ant). RNAcentral describes it as "uncharacterized LOC118647793". The record is from RNAcentral. Lineage: Eukaryota; Metazoa; Arthropoda; Insecta; Hymenoptera; Formicidae.